GGGUUGUGAGGUUAAGCGACUAAGCGUACACGGUGGAUGCCCUGGCAGUCAGAGGCGAUGAAGGACGUGCUAAUCUGCGAAAAGCGCCGGCGAGGUGAUAUGAACCCUUGACCCGGCGAUGUCCGAAUGGGGAAACCCAGUGCAAUCCGUUGCACUAUCGUUAACUGAAUACAUAGGUUAACGAGGCGAACCGGGGGAACUGAAACAUCUAAGUACCCCGAGGAAAAGAAAUCAACCGAGAUUCCCCCAGUAGCGGCGAGCGAACGGGGAGCAGCCCGGAGUCUGAAUCAGUUUGUGUGUUAGUGGAACGGUCUGGAAAGUCCGACGGUACAGGGUGAUAGUCCCGUACACGAAAGCACACUUGCUGUGAACUCGAAGAGUAGGGCGGGACACGUGGUAUCCUGUCUGAAUAUGGGGGGACCAUCCUCCAAGGCUAAAUACUCCUGACUGACCGAUAGUGAACCAGUACCGUGAGGGAAAGGCGAAAAGAACCCCGGCGAGGGGAGUGAAAAAGAACCUGAAACCGUGUACGUACAAGCAGUGGGAGCACCUUCGUGGUGUGACUGCGUACCUUUUGUAUAAUGGGUCAGCGACUUAUAUUCUGUAGCAAGGUUAACCGUAUAGGGGAGCCGAAGGGAAACCGAGUCUUAACUGGGCGUUAAGUUGCAGGGUAUAGACCCGAAACCCGGUGAUCUAGCCAUGGGCAGGUUGAAGGUUGGGUAACACUAACUGGAGGACCGAACCGACUAAUGUUGAAAAAUUAGCGGAUGACCUGUGGCUGGGGGUGAAAGGCCAAUCAAACCGGGAGAUAGCUGGUUCUCCCCGAAAGCUAUUUAGGUAGCGCCUCGUGAACUCAUCUUCGGGGGUAGAGCACUGUUUCGGCUAGGGGGCCAUCCCGGCUUACCAACCCGAUGCAAACUACGAAUACCGAAGAAUGUUAUCACGGGAGACACACGGCGGGUGCUAACGUCCGUCGUGAAGAGGGAAACAACCCAGACCGCCAGCUAAGGUCCCAAAGUCAUGGUUAAGUGGGAAACGAUGUGGGAAGGCACAGACAGCCAGGAUGUUGGCUUAGAAGCAGCCAUCAUUUAAAGAAAGCGUAAUAGCUCACUGGUCGAGUCGGCCUGCGCGGAAGAUGUAACGGGGCUAAACCAUGCACCGAAGCUGCGGCAGCGACACUAUGUGUUGUUGGGUAGGGGAGCGUUCUGUAAGCCGUUGAAGGUGUGCUGUGAGGCAUGCUGGAGGUAUCAGAAGUGCGAAUGCUGACAUAAGUAACGAUAAAGCGGGUGAAAAGCCCGCUCGCCGGAAGACCAAGGGUUCCUGUCCAACGUUAAUCGGGGCAGGGUGAGUCGACCCCUAAGGCGAGGCCGAAAGGCGUAGUCGAUGGGAAACAGGUUAAUAUUCCUGUACUUGGUGUUACUGCGAAGGGGGGACGGAGAAGGCUAUGUCAGCCGGGCGACGGUUGUCCCGGUUUAAGCAUGUAGGCGGAGGUUCCAGGUAAAUCCGGUACCUUAUUAACGCUGAGGUGUGAUGACGAGGCACUACGGUGCUGAAGUGAUAAAUGCCCUGCUUCCAGGAAAAGCCUCUAAGCAUCAGGUAACACGAAAUCGUACCCCAAACCGACACAGGUGGUCAGGUAGAGAAUACCAAGGCGCUUGAGAGAACUCGGGUGAAGGAACUAGGCAAAAUGGUGCCGUAACUUCGGGAGAAGGCACGCUGAUGUGUAGGUGAAGCCCCUGCGGGCGGAGCUGAAAUCAGUCGAAGAUACCAGCUGGCUGCAACUGUUUAUUAAAAACACAGCACUGUGCAAACACGAAAGUGGACGUAUACGGUGUGACGCCUGCCCGGUGCCGGAAGGUUAAUUGAUGGGGUUAGCUGUAAGGCGAAGCUCUUGAUCGAAGCCCCGGUAAACGGCGGCCGUAACUAUAACGGUCCUAAGGUAGCGAAAUUCCUUGUCGGGUAAGUUCCGACCUGCACGAAUGGCGUAAUGAUGGCCAGGCUGUCUCCACCCGAGACUCAGUGAAAUUGAACUCGCUGUGAAGAUGCAGUGUACCCGCGGCAAGACGGAAAGACCCCGUGAACCUUUACUAUAGCUUGACACUGAACACUGGUCCUUGAUGUGUAGGAUAGGUGGGAGGCUUUGAAGCGUGGACGCCAGUCUGCGUGGAGCCGCCCUUGAAAUACCACCCUUUAAUGGCUGGUGUUCUAACGUAGACCCGUAAUCCGGGUUGCGGACAGUGUCUGGUGGGUAGUUUGACUGGGGCGGUCUCCUCCCAAAGAGUAACGGAGGAGCACGAAGGUUGGCUAAUCCUGGUCGGACAUCAGGAGGUUAGUGCAAUGGCAUAAGCCAGCUUGACUGCGAGCGUGACGGCGCGAGCAGGUGCGAAAGCAGGUCAUAGUGAUCCGGUGGUUCUGAAUGGAAGGGCCAUCGCUCAACGGAUAAAAGGUACUCCGGGGAUAACAGGCUGAUACCGCCCAAGAGUUCAUAUCGACGGCGGUGUUUGGCACCUCGAUGUCGGCUCAUCACAUCCUGGGGCUGAAGUAGGUCCCAAGGGUAUGGCUGUUCGCCAUUUAAAGUGGUACGCGAGCUGGGUUUAGAACGUCGUGAGACAGUUCGGUCCCUAUCUGCCGUGGGCGCUGGAGAAUUGAGGGGGGCUGCUCCUAGUACGAGAGGACCGGAGUGGACGCAUCACUGGUGUUCGGGUUGUCAUGCCAAUGGCACUGCCCGGUAGCUAAAUGCGGAAGAGAUAAGUGCUGAAAGCAUCUAAGCACGAAACUUGCCCCGAGAUGAGUUCUCCCUGAGACUUUAAGUCUCCUGAAGGAACGUUGAAGACGACGACGUUGAUAGGUCGGGUGUGUAAGCGCAGCGAUGCGUUGAGCUAACCGAUACUAAUGAACCGUGAGGCUUAACCUUACAACGCCGAAGGUGUUU
RNAcentral lists this ribosomal RNA (2932 nucleotides) under Enterobacter cloacae. Its description in RNAcentral is "23S ribosomal RNA". It matches the Rfam family "Bacterial large subunit ribosomal RNA". RNAcentral also lists the same sequence under 1 other name. The record is from RNAcentral. Lineage: Bacteria; Pseudomonadati; Pseudomonadota; Gammaproteobacteria; Enterobacterales; Enterobacteriaceae.